CACGCACGUUUCUUGUACUUUUCCCCUCGCCUGUUUAAACCGCGUUCAUCGAGAUUCUUCCGAUGGCCUACUUCCCCGAAAACCUAAUUCUCCCUCAAUGCCUCCCUAAAACCCUAAAAUUCUCCACACAAAACCUUAAAACCCUAGAUAUCUCUGUAUGUAACAAUGAAGACCAAGCAAUCAAACGAAGAAGAAGAAGAAUUUCAACAACAACAACAACAACAACAACAACAACAAAAGGAACAAUCCCCUACCAGACCAGCUUCUGCAGUUCAAUCUCCGCCAUCUGAUUCUCGAAAGAGACUGCGAGCCAAUUCCUCCCUGCCCUCUGGUUCCGCCACCGCCGCCCCUUCCGUCUCAUCAUCCCGUAAGAAGACCAGAGACCUGCCCAAUCUCUACGAUUGCCACAGCUGUAAAUUCCAUGUCUCCAACAUAGGGAAAGACAAGCUGCGAGCGUUAACCAGCGUGUGGCGUAUUGUUCUCCUUUGCAAGAAAUGCUUCAGCCGCGUCGAGUCCGCUGAGAUUUGCUCUUACUGCUUCUCAGAAACGUCCGCAGAAUCCCUUCGUUGCCGCGAAUGCGCAAGGUGCGUCCACAGGGAUUGUGUUCUGGAGCGUAGAGAUGUUGCUCCCUGGUCGUACUCGUUUUCAAGCUCGGGAAUUUCAGUUUGUGUUGACUGUUGGGUUCCGAAGUUGCUUGCCAAUGCAAAGGGAGUUUCUAGGUCUAGGAAGGUCGGUGGGCAGGAAAAGGAUAUUGGGAAAUCUUCUUUGGUUGCAAAUUCUAGGGAUUUGGAAAAUAGGGAUGGUGGUGUAAGGUUGGAAGAUGUGGUGAAGGAUGCAAAUUGUGUGGCGGAAAAGAAGAUAGCAGAUGCCGCUAGGGCUAAGGAGAACGCAUUGAGGAAAGCAGCGGAUGCUAGGAGGGCAAUGGAGUUGGCUAGCAAUGCUUUGGAAUUUGUAGUCCGGAGAGAUGAGUGUGGGAGGAAUAUGUUCAUUAAUGAUGAGGAAUUGGCUCUUCAGUUGCACAGAGCUAUAAAUGGCUCACGAAGGAUUUCAAGGGACGUGUGCUCGAUGAAUUUGACUUGUUUUACCAUUCCGACAAGACGUGAAUGUGAUGAUGAUAUUGUGUCAGUUAGAAUGUUCAACUCUGGGAGUCCUAGUGUGUGUGGAAAGCUUGAAGUCUGCACUGACAAUAAGUUAGUUGGGAAUCCAGAUCGAAGUAUUUCAGAACCUUCAGUUCACAUUAGGGUUUCAUGUGAAGAUUCUAAUGUUCAGUUCAACAAAGUGAAACCAGAUGGAGUGGUUGAUGUGAGGACUGGUACAAGAGAUGGUGAGUGUCAAGGAACAUGUGAUAAUCGAGAUGAUAAAGAGGAAAUGCCAUUGAAAGAGGGAGAGGGAAGUUGUUCAAAUAAGUUGAUUGUAUCAAGUGCUGGGGACAAUAGCACAGAAUCAGAGUCUCAUUCUUGUCAGAAAAAAGAUGAGUUAAGGGCUGAUAUGGGUCCAAGUGAGUUUGGGACCAAUGGUCAAUUGAAGUAUGGUGAAGAUGCAGGUUUGUUAAAGGAUGAAAAAUGUGGAAAGCCUGAUCGCUAUUUAAGGAAGUAUAGUAAAAGAUCUAUAAGCUUGAAAGCAGUUUCACAUUCUUCAACCAAGUUCAUUUAUGAAGGUUUUCACCUUGAAAGUCAGGCUUCAGCCCCUGGGGUACCUUUGAAGUGUUCCAAGGCAUGUCAAGUGUUCUCUGAUGCAUCAUUUCGGUCUGGUGCUGUUCCUUUGCAAGCUUCUGCUUGUGCAAGUGUUUCAUCUCAAGACUAGUCUUGGAGCUAGCAGGACCUCCAUGAGAUCGAGCUUAGAGAGCUCGAGUUGUUUGUAGCAUUUUUGGGAUAUAGAAAAGAAAGGGUAUAUACUUGGCUGAUAUUUUGGGUUGUCAACAAAAAUUCGAGCUGAAGAUGAAGCGAUAUUACCUGUGGACCCUCAAUGUGCUGGUCUCACUGACCAUGUAUGUGGUACGCCAACUUGCUGAACCACAAGAUGCGUGGUCUGAUUUUUCCUAGACGUUCUUUCAGGAACUGCUCUAAAAUUGUUCUUGAUCUGUGCCAGUGCCUACUGCUCCAGCCACCAGCACCUCGCAGCUGCACAUACACCGGUGCACCCACCCACUCACCCUCUCUCUCUCUCUCUCUCUCUCUCUCUCAAGUUGUGAUAUUAUGUUUCUUAAUUACUAUCAUCUCAAAACUGAUAUUUGUUAUUGACCAAAAAUCACUGGCUGUGUGAGAAGGUUGUCAUUGUUUGGGUGCAAUUCUUUCCGCUUGCCUCACCCAAAGCUGGUGCUGCUUCUUUCCGAGGUUAAGGAAUCACAAACCUAACAGCUUCUGCUCUCCUUCUCUGCAGUGUGGCCUUAAACAGCGCAUGCAGCAAUUUUCUCUCAACAAAGUCAGUCUUUGGCAUGCUGCCUAAUGUUUCAGCUGCCUCCCUUUGGGAAGCUGGGUUUUCAGGUUUCGGGGAUGGUUCAUAUUUUGUCAUGGGCCACGUUUGUAAUGCAACCUCUUCCCUUUGCCAACCCUCCCACAAACUGUUUGUUUUGUUGGCAUUUAAUGUCCGUGCAAGGGAUGCGAAAUAAAUCAGAUUGAUUUUUCGUUCAAAA
Molecule: RNA transcript, 2632 nt
Organism: Malania oleifera
Lineage: Eukaryota; Viridiplantae; Streptophyta; Magnoliopsida; Santalales; Ximeniaceae
Exons: 3
Source: RefSeq, a predicted model, not a curated record